Molecule: ribosomal RNA, 592 nt
Filed under: uncultured fungus
Lineage: Eukaryota; Fungi
Description: eukaryotic LSU rRNA
Rfam family: 5.8S ribosomal RNA (bases 190-343)
Source: RNAcentral
AAAAGUCGUAACAAGGUUUCCGUAGGUGAACUUGCGGAAGGAUCAUUACCGAGAGUUGCAGGCUUUUGUCUGCCAUCUCUUACCCAUGUCUUUUGCGUACUACACGUUUCCUCGGCAGGUCCGCCUGCCGUUAGGACCCCAUUAAACCAUUUGCAGUUGCAGUCAGCGUCUGAAAAACUUAAUAAUUACAACUUUUAACAACGGAUCUCUUGGUUCUGGCAUCGAUGAAGAACGCAGCGAAAUGCGAUAAGUAGUGUGAAUUGCAGAAUUCAGUGAAUCAUCGAAUCUUUGAACGCACAUUGCGCCCUAUGGUAUUCCAUAGGGCAUGCCUGUUCGAGCGUCAUUUGUACCUUCAAGCUCUGCUUGGUGUUGGGUGUUUGUCCCGCCUUUGUGCGCGGACUCGCCUUAAAGCAAUUGGCAGCCGACGUCUAGGUUUCGGAGCGCAGCACAAAUCGCGCUCUGUGUCCUGGUACGGCGGCGUCCAUCAAGACUAUUUUACACUCUUGACCUCGGAUCAGGUAGGGAUACCCGCUGAACUUAAGCAUAUCAAUAAGCGGAGGAAAAGAAACCAACAGGGAUUGCCCCAGUAACG